CAGCAAUGGCACAAGCCACGGACAGUGGGUGUGAAGCCAGGACCCAUCAACUCCAUGAUCUUCACUAAGCCGGUACCAAAUAGGAUGGCCCAGACUGGAGUACGGAGUGGCUUCUACAGAGGCAUGGUGGGUCCGUUACCAGAUCCCUGCUUGUUCAGAAUAACGGAGGCAUAUGCAAAAUUUAAUAUUGAGGACAGGCCACUUGUGACCACAAUGAACAUGAGACCUGACAAGCCCCUUGUGGAAAGUGCCUUUGGGCUGGUGCAGGAGGGCAGUGUUCUGUCAUAUCAGCAGCCGGUUUUGACAACCCGGUACAUCACACUACACCGUGAUGCACCACCAACACCGCACUUGCCUCUGGAGGGGUAUGACAUCUUGCCAUCAGAGUGUGUGUUUGUGUGCUCAGAAGAAGAGCUUCUGCAUCUGAAAAGCUUGUCUGUAACUCUGGAAAUGGCUCACAAAAUAGAGGAAGCUACACGUGAGCAAAGCUCUUCACCUGA
Long non-coding RNA from Pelmatolapia mariae (spotted tilapia), 500 nucleotides. RefSeq lists it as uncharacterized. The record is from RefSeq and is a predicted model, not a curated record. The transcript has 3 exons. NCBI's taxonomy places the organism in Eukaryota, Metazoa, Chordata, Actinopteri, Cichliformes, Cichlidae.